CCCCGCUCGUCGGGGCGCCCGCCGGAGGAUAACCAUACUCUGAUUUAACGACGUCUCUUCUGAGUGGUACAAGCAAAUAAUCAAAACUUUUAACAACGGAUCUCUUGGUUCUGGCAUCGAUGAAGAACGCAGCGAAAUGCGAUAAGUAAUGUGAAUUGCAGAAUUCAGUGAAUCAUCGAAUCUUUGAACGCACAUUGCGCCCGCCAGCAUUCUGGCGGGCAUGCCUGUUCGAGCGUCAUUUCAACCCUCAAGCUCUGCUUGGCGUUGGGGCCCUACGGCUGACGUAGGCCCUCAAAGGUAGUGGCGGACCCUCUCGGAGCCUCCUUUGCGUAGUAACUUACUGUCUCGCACUGGGAUCCGGAGGGGCUUCUGGCCGUAAAACCCCCAAACUUUCCAAAGGUUGACCUCGGAUCAGGUAGGAAUACCCGCUGAACUUAAGC
This 440-nucleotide ribosomal RNA is filed under the name Colletotrichum sp. HL-04. RNAcentral describes it as "eukaryotic LSU rRNA". The stretch from base 85 to 238 matches the Rfam family "5.8S ribosomal RNA". Lineage: Eukaryota; Fungi; Ascomycota; Sordariomycetes; Glomerellales; Glomerellaceae. The record is from RNAcentral.